This is a long non-coding RNA of Tympanuchus pallidicinctus (lesser prairie-chicken), 2476 nucleotides long. RefSeq lists it as uncharacterized. The record is from RefSeq and is a predicted model, not a curated record. The transcript is spliced from 2 exons. Lineage: Eukaryota; Metazoa; Chordata; Aves; Galliformes; Phasianidae.
ACGGGGAGCGCGGCAACGCGUGAUCCGCGGCCUGAGCGCGGCGGCCUCGGGGCUGCUGAGGGGAACCGAGGCGUCGCUCCCGACGAGGGACGGGCGGAGCUCCGCCGCUGCGAGCCCGGCUCUGCGAGGGCGUCGAGGAAAGCGAGGGCGGCCCGUGUGCGCGGCGGGUGUGUGGGGAGAACAGAGCCGUGAGAUGGAGGAGCCCCGGCCGGAAGAUGCGCGUUGUCAGACGCACAGAGCGGGGCUUUGCGGCCUGCACUGCUCACCCCGCACCGCACGGCUGGUUUCCUCCCGGCCACCCUUAUUGCAUAUAAACGGCAAAGAAUUUCCAGCUCUCUGCUGUGAAUCGUUAACCGGGAAACCCUCCAGGUACACGGGAACUGCUGCAGUGCUGCACUCAGACGUUUCUUCGUCCUGUGAAGGAUGCACAUCUCCCUCACCAGCCAGCCCCGCAGCACCUCGUGGGAACCCUUUGAGGUGCAGCUCCGUGAUGCUUCUCUUCAGGUUAUUAGGAACAACCUCCCCCAGGGCUCGGUCUGCUGCUAUCUGCUCCUGAUCAAAGGAUGCCAGAGGUGGUUUCCAGGCAGAAGACUGGCUUACGCAGCCUGUAAGCCAUCACAAGCACCAUAGAGGCCUUCUCCUGGGUGCCCUGCAGACACUGCUGCCCACCGGCCGCCAUCUGAAAGCUCACAGAUACCUGCUGGCAGCAGCAAGCUCACCCUGCACGGUGACCCUGCAGAUUAACUGAGCUGAUGAGGUUCACUGAUGGCAGCGGGGCUCAGCUGAAAAGUGAAGUUACAUGAUUAAAAGGUUUGAGUCUCUAACGCACACACUGGAUCGAUGCAUUAUCUUAAUAGCUAUCUUGUGAAAAUGUGAUGAUAAGCUUGGCCUCACGCGGUGAUAGCAGACUUUUUCCUACCUAACUUUUGGUUAUGAGUCUCAUACUUCUGCUAUGUGUUGGAACACACGCAUUUCAAAUUCUUGAUUAACUUGGAUCAGUCUUAAGAUUCAGCAUUCGUUUCCCUGUAUCUUUUCAAAGUGCCAGGCAACCUAUUUCAGGAGUAUGAUCUAGUGUGAUUCAGGAAGUAUGAUCUGGUGUCCAAAGGUUAUCCCAGCCUACUUAAUUGCAAGAUUGUAUGCAAUUAAAGUGGAUGUCCCUUGUAAACAACUUGCUCAUUGUUUUAUAAUCUCUGAAGAGUUUGGAUUUCAGCACAAAUUUUUUUAAAGCAGGCUGUCAGUUUAUGACGUUACCACUGUAACAAGCAGCUCUUGUUUCCAGAUUAAGUAUUAAGGCCCAAUCCAAAUCCCUUUAAACUCAAGAAGAAUGUUUUCAUUUAGGUAGUGGAUUGGGCUGCAGAAACAGGACGGCCCUUUGACUCAGCAGGUGAGCUGUAUGUGGGGGUGAAGGCACACGCUGGGAGAAAGCUGCCCUACUUUUUUCUCUGAUAUAUUUUUGCUAUAGAUGAAGAAUGGAUGUAGUUGCUAAACCGGUCAGAAACACUUAAAAACAAAUUAUGAUGUAAGAGAGUGGCAGAUACUCCUGCAAAACAAGUAUUACUAAGACACCUGAAACUGAAUAUAUAAAAAAAAAGUGGAAAUGUUUGGGUCAAGAAAAUGAACACUGUGGGGAAAAAAGCAUGAAGGAAGUGUAGGGGUAAAGAAAAUGCCAUCCUUUUACAGGCUACAGCUGAACUUAAAACCUUGACUUUAUUACUACCUUUCUACCCCUUUCCUUUAUACAGUGGUGUCCUUUGGAUUUACGUUCAUGUAUCACUGUCUUCCAGAGAUGAGAAAUAUGCUGUGACUUCUUCCUUCAUGGUAAUACCUGGUGUAACUGUGCUACUUUAGGGCAUUUGUGUGUCCUUAAGCAAAACCUGAAUUUGACGUUUGGGGGAACUUUGUAGUUUGAGAAGUUUGGUCAGAACUCUAACAUCAGCAUCCUCAAAACUGUCCUGGAGAUAAAAAGCCUGCACUUAAAAUGGGAGGAUCCUCAGUAGAUGGCUAAAUAGGUUUGCUUUCUCCAAGCAAAAAUAAAUGACUCCCCAGUUCAACGGCAGCAAAUUCAUCUUUAAUUUGCAGAACACUUGUUUCUUUCCUGUACUCCAUAUAAAAGAUUCUUUAAGGCUUCGGGAAAAUGAGAACAGGUUGCUUUUCUAUAUGCAAUAAUUUUCCUCUUGGAGCAUUCUUCUGGCUCCCUCCACCAUUCAGAGUGGGUGUACAUGUGAACUGACAAAUACUGCACAGCCUGUCUUCCAGCAGAACUCUGAGAUUAAUUAGUGGGAGGUAAUACCUUUGACAAAUUACCAUAUUCAAGCACAACACCUAUUACAUGUAACAAAGCUAACCCUUGUGCUUGCUUUCUGCCUUACUGGAAGAAUGCCUAGGAUUUCAGUUUCUUCUACCAUGUUUCAUUUAUCAAUAUGAGAGAUAAAAACACAGAAUAUCAGUCCCUUGUCAUCCCAAGGACAUCAGAUUA